GCGGAGGAAAAGAAACCAACAGGGAUUGCCUCAGUAGCGGCGAGUGAAGCGGCAAAAGCUCAAAUUUGAAAUCUGGCGUCUUUGGCGUCCGAGUUGUAAUUUGAAGAAGGUAUCUUUGGGCCCGGCUCUUGUCUAUGUUCCUUGGAACAGGACGUCACAGAGGGUGAGAAUCCCGUGCGAUGAGAUGACCCGGGUCUGUGUAAAGUUCCUUCGACGAGUCGAGUUGUUUGGGAAUGCAGCUCUAAGUGGGUGGUAAAUUCCAUCUAAAGCUAAAUAUUGGCGAGAGACCGAUAGCGAACAAGUACAGUGAUGGAAAGAUGAAAAGAACUUUGAAAAGAGAGUGAAAAAGUACAAUUGUUGAAAGGGAAGGGCUUGAGAUCAGACUUGGUAUUUUGCAUGCUGCUCUCUCGGGGGCGGCCGCUGCGGUUUACCGGGCCAGCAUCGGUUUGGAGCGGCAGGAUAAUGGCGGAGGAAUGUGGCACGGCUUCUGCUGUGUGUUAUAGCCUCUGACGAUACUGCCAGCCUAGACCGAGGCUGCGGUUUUUACCUAGGAUGUUGGCAUAAUGAUCUUAAGUCGCCCGUCUUGAA
Molecule: ribosomal RNA, 588 nt
Filed under: Candida albicans
Lineage: Eukaryota; Fungi; Ascomycota; Pichiomycetes; Serinales; Debaryomycetaceae
Description: LSU rRNA
Rfam family: Eukaryotic large subunit ribosomal RNA
Source: RNAcentral